Molecule: long non-coding RNA, 473 nt
Filed under: Gossypium barbadense (sea-island cotton)
Lineage: Eukaryota; Viridiplantae; Streptophyta; Magnoliopsida; Malvales; Malvaceae
Description: long non-coding RNA (GBAR_LNC018457)
Source: RNAcentral
UCCUUCUUACUGUCAUCAAAUUUCUUCUUUGUUACUGGACUAUAAUUAUAUUUCCAUAAACUGUAUUACUUCCUCUUAGCCACUAUUCUGGUUAUCAUAUUAACUCUAAUUUCCUCCAACAUGGUUAUUAUGCUAUUAAAUCUAGACUCCACGAUGUUGGAGUUAAAUGCUUCACAGAGGUUAUUGUCUACAAUAUUUGACACCGAGUGUAACCCCUAGAAGGCCUUGGUCCAAGCUUUCGAAUUCUUAGAGAACAACUCCUUUGCAUCACAUUCAUCAAGCCUAUACAAGUCUUCUUUGAUUUUUUUUCCACUCCCUCUCUGUUGUAGACUUAACAACUUUCCAAACAACAAAUUCGAAUGUCUUUGCUUUCUUCCUACCAGACCAAUUUGAUAAGACAUGCCUAGCAUAAUUUCUAUAUUCUACUCGAGGUAGAAUGCCAUUAAUGGCUAUCUCGUGACCCUACAAAUUAA